UCGGUCACUGGUGGGUGACAUUCCUUCAGUAACUGAUUGGUCACGGAACCAAAUUUCUGUAAGCUAUUUUCUUGUUUUUCCAGUUCAUCUUGCAGGCUCUGUAGGUUAUCAACUUGGACUUUCACAGCUUCCAAAGAGCCAGUAAGAAGAUAAAAGCGGGACAAAGAAUAUCUGGCUUCCAUCAGGUAACUAUUUAGUUCUUCAUAAGUUACUUUGUAAAUGCUCCACUGAUCAAGAACAGACUGCAACAAUAUCUUUAGCUGGCUAACCAUGUGAUCCAAGUUGGCCCAGGAAUGAUUGAUUUCUUGCAGUGUAUUCAAAACAGCAGAACAGGCUUCUUCCUUCUUGUUCUGUAUCAAAGACAGACCACUUUGUUCUAUGCUUUCUAAUUCUUUUUCCUUUGUUCUUAUUGAUUCUUCUAAUUC
This 425-nucleotide long non-coding RNA is filed under the name Gallus gallus (chicken). The record is from RNAcentral. Lineage: Eukaryota; Metazoa; Chordata; Aves; Galliformes; Phasianidae.